GGAUUGCGACUGUGUGUAACCUCAACCCGCCGGAGUGUGAGCCGUGUUGGGAGACGUCUGACUGAGCAAUGUUGCUAAAUUAGCUCUUACUGUUAGCACGUGCAACCGAGGAGCAGACCUGCGUCACGUGGGAACCCUGGCUUUAUGUACAAGUGUCUGAAUAUAUCCUCCAUCACCGGACAUGACCAGUAGUAAUGGUAGCUGCUAGUUACUCUGCAGAUUCAUAAAACAGAAUAUAAUCAACAGGUUCAGACUGUAUACAAAGGUGGACGACAUGACUGCACCCUAAAAGUGACGCCAAGGCACCUUUGCCCUCGUGGCCUCCUUCAGUAAAAGUCGUCCUCCUCCUCCAUCACCUCUCCUCCACCACAGUCUGUCCGUUGCUCCUGGUUUCCUCCACUAUUAUCUUCUCCUCCUCUGGAAACAACAUGUGAACGUCCUUCCUGCUGGAGCCUAAUUGAAACCAUUGCAACAGUGACUGAACCAGCAUCUGUUGGAAGGUCGAGAUCUCCUCCAGAUUUCCUUGAAUGUGACCGAUGUCGACGCUGCUGAGUCUGCAAAGCAGAAGAGGAUAGAGGAAGAGAAGAGGGACAUCAUUCAUCAUUUAAACAUCUUCUGUAGAUGGUGAUAUUUAACUAUAAACUCAAAGGAAGUCAAAUUGUUGUAAUCCUUGUAUGGGACAAGUCAACUUUGAAGGGUGCAACAAUAUCUAAAGAAAAGCCAAGAAAAGAUGGGAUGGAAGUUCCGCCGAUCAAGGUCCCGCUGAUACACGGGACAGACCAAUCCUCCCGCACAUAGUUACUGGGGAACCAUCCAGAUUUGCCGUUGUACGAGCCUUCCCACCAGCCCCCAUCCUCCUGCCUGCUCACGCUG
Non-coding RNA from Paralichthys olivaceus (Japanese flounder), 873 nucleotides. Lineage: Eukaryota; Metazoa; Chordata; Actinopteri; Pleuronectiformes; Paralichthyidae. The record is from RefSeq and is a predicted model, not a curated record.